GAUGAACGCUGGCGGCGUGCUUAACACAUGCAAGUCGAACGAUUAAACUGGCUUCGGCCAGAUAUAGAGUGGCGAACGGGUGAGUAACACGUGACCAACCUGCCCCGCGCUCCGGGACAACCGCUGGAAACGGCGGCUAAUACCGGAUGCUCCGGGGAGGCCCCAUGGCCUCCCCGGGAAAGCCUUAACGGCGCGGGAUGGGGUCGCGGCCCAUUAGGUAGACGGCGGGGUAACGGCCCACCGUGCCCGCGAUGGGUAGCCGGACUGAGAGGUCGACCGGCCACAUUGGGACUGAGAUACGGCCCAGACUCCUACGGGAGGCAGCAGUGGGGAAUUUUGCGCAAUGGGGGAAACCCUGACGCAGCAACGCCGCGUGCGGGACGAAGGCCUUCGGGUUGUAAACCGCUUUCAGCAGGGAAGACUUUGACGGU
This 431-nucleotide ribosomal RNA is filed under the name uncultured bacterium. RNAcentral describes it as "bacterial SSU rRNA". It matches the Rfam family "Bacterial small subunit ribosomal RNA", at positions 28 to 458 of the family's 1533-position model. The record is from RNAcentral.